Molecule: transfer RNA, 77 nt
Filed under: Escherichia coli
Lineage: Bacteria; Pseudomonadati; Pseudomonadota; Gammaproteobacteria; Enterobacterales; Enterobacteriaceae
Description: tRNA-Val
Rfam family: tRNA
About the family: Transfer RNA (tRNA) molecules are approximately 80 nucleotides in length.
Source: RNAcentral
GCGUCCGUAGCUCAGUUGGUUAGAGCACCACCUUGACAUGGUGGGGGUCUGUGGUUCGAGUCCACUCGGACGCACCA